This 253-nucleotide ribosomal RNA is filed under the name uncultured bacterium. RNAcentral describes it as "partial 16S ribosomal RNA". It matches the Rfam family "Bacterial small subunit ribosomal RNA", at positions 524 to 776 of the family's 1533-position model. The record is from RNAcentral.
UACGGAGGGGGCUAGCGUUGUUCGGAAUUACUGGGCGUAAAGCGUACGUAGGCGGUUUUGUAAGUUAGAGGUGAAAGCCCGGAGCUCAACUUCGGAAUUGCCUUUAAGACUGCAUCACUUGAACGUCGGAGAGGUGAGUGGAAUUCCGAGUGUAGAGGUGAAACUCGUAGAUAUUCGGAAGAACACCAGUGGCGAAGGCGGCUCACUGGACGACUGUUGACGCUGAGGUACGAAAGCGUGGGGAGCAAACAGG